This 498-nucleotide ribosomal RNA is filed under the name uncultured bacterium. RNAcentral describes it as "bacterial SSU rRNA". It matches the Rfam family "Bacterial small subunit ribosomal RNA", at positions 29 to 518 of the family's 1533-position model. The record is from RNAcentral.
AUGAACGCUAGCUACAGGCUAACACAUGCAAGUCGAGGGGCAGCAUGAAGUUGCUGCAAACUUGAUGGCGACCGGCGCACGGGUGAGUAACGCGUAUCCAACCUGGCCCGCAGUAGGGAACAGCCCGGCGAAAGUCGGAUUAAUGCCCUAUGUCUUCCUUUGCAGGCAUCCAAUGAGGAAGAAAGAUUUAUCGCUGCGGGAUGGGGAUGCGUCUGAUUAGCUUGUCGGCGGGGUAACGGCCCACCGAGGCUACGAUCAGUAGGGGUUCUGAGAGGAAGGUCCCCCACACUGGUACUGAGACACGGACCAGACUCCUACGGGAGGCAGCAGUGAGGAAUAUUGGUCAAUGGGCGAGAGCCUGAACCAGCCAAGUAGCGUGCAGGAACCGACUGCCCUAUGGGUUGUAAACUGCUUUUAUGCGGGGAUAAACUUCAGCACGUGUGCUGUUUUGCAGGUACCGCAUGAAUAAGGACCGGCUAAUUCCGUGCCAGCCGCUGC